UACUCGAGUGGCGAACGGGUGAGUAACACGUGGGUGAUCUGCCCUGCACUUCGGGAUAAGCCUGGGAAACUGGGUCUAAUACCGGAUAGGAGCCAUUUUUAGUGUGAUGGUUGGAAAGUUUUUCGGUGUAGGAUGAGCUCGCGGCCUACCAGCUUGUUGGUGGGGUAAUGGCCUACCAAGGCGGCGACGGGUAGCCGGCCUGAGAGGGUGGACGGCCACAUUGGGACUGAGAUACGGCCCAG
This 242-nucleotide ribosomal RNA is filed under the name uncultured Actinomycetales bacterium. RNAcentral's name for it is "partial 16S ribosomal RNA". It matches the Rfam family "Bacterial small subunit ribosomal RNA", at positions 88 to 334 of the family's 1533-position model. The record is from RNAcentral. Lineage: Bacteria; Bacillati; Actinomycetota; Actinomycetes; Actinomycetales.